Molecule: ribosomal RNA, 233 nt
Filed under: uncultured bacterium
Lineage: Bacteria
Description: partial 16S ribosomal RNA
Rfam family: Bacterial small subunit ribosomal RNA
Source: RNAcentral
ACGGGUGAGUAACGCGUAUGCAACUUGCCUAUCAGAGGGGGAUAACCCGGCGAAAGUCGGACUAAUACCGCAUGAAGCAGGGAUCCCGCAUGGGAAUAUUUGCUAAAGAUUCAUCGCUGAUAGAUAGGCAUGCGUUCCAUUAGGCAGUUGGCGGGGUAACGGCCCACCAAACCGACGAUGGAUAGGGGUUCUGAGAGGAAGGUCCCCCACAUUGGUACUGAGACACGGACCAA